Molecule: long non-coding RNA, 3127 nt
Filed under: Homo sapiens (human)
Lineage: Eukaryota; Metazoa; Chordata; Mammalia; Primates; Hominidae
Description: HSALNT0025647
Source: RNAcentral
CCUUACUGUAGGGGACUGAAGACAAACCUGCAAUAUCUCUGAGAAAUCCUUGAAUGAAGCACAAAAGGGAUUGGUCCUUGCCUGGUGUGAAGCACAGCUGAGCCAAAGGAGGAAGCAAUAUUGCAAUGGACUCUGUCUUUGACAUCACUACUUUGCAAAUUUGUUACCACUAUGGUCAAAUUUUUAUAUUCACUCUUACAUUUUAACUCAUUCUGCUCAUUAUAUUCAAUGCAACAUCUGCACUAAAAGAUACUCAGGCAUUAAUUUAUGCUUUUCUGUUUACAAAUGAGAAUUCAUAAGCAAAUUGAGGUAGCAAUUAGAUAUUUUUUAAAAUCGAAGACAAAACAGAAGACACAUACACACACAUCAGUGGAACACAACAGAGAGCCCAGAAACAGACUGAAAUACAGCCGACUAAUCUCUGACAAAGGAGCAAAAGCAAUUCAAUGGAGAAAGGAGAGUCUUUUUAACAAAUGGUGCCGGAACAAGUGGGCAUCCAUAUGCAAAAAAGAAAAAAAAAAAGAAUCUAAAAACAGACCUUAUACUUCUUACAAAAAUUAAUGCAAAGUAGAUAUUAGACCAAUAUAUAAAAUGUAAAAUUUUCAAACUUCUAGAAGAUAACAUAAGGAAAAAAUCUAGUUAACUUUGGAUUUGGUGACUUUUUAAAGAUACAACACCAAAAGCAUGAUCCACGAAGACAAAAAUUGGUAAGCUGAAUUUCAUUAACAUGAAAAACUUUUGUUUUGCAAAAGAUACCAUUAAGAGAAUAAAAAGACAAAUCCCAAACUGUGAGAAAAUAUUUGCAAAAUAUAUCUAAGGAUUCGUAUCUGAAAUAUGCAAAGAACUGUUAAAACUCAACAAGAGGAAAACAAACAACCCAAUUAAAAAUGGGCAAAAGCUGAACAGAUAUGCAGAUGGAAACUAACUAUAUGAAAAGAUGCUCUGUAUGUUAUUAGGAACUGCCAAUUAAGACAACAAUAAGACACCACUACACACCUAUUAGAAUGGCCAAAAUCCACAAGUCUGAAAACACCAAAUGCUGGUGAGGAUGUGAAGCAACAAGAACUCUCAUUCAUUGCUGUGGGAAUGCAAAAUGGCACAGCCACUUUGGAAGACAGUUUGGCAGUUUUUUACAAAGCUCACAUAGUCUUAUUAUAAGAUUUAGCAAUUGUGCUCUUCAUUAUUUACCCAGUGGAGUUGAAGAGUUAUGUCCACACACAAACUUGCACACAAAUGUUUAUAAAAGCUUUAUUCAGGAUUACCAGAAACUGGAGGUGAUCAACAUGUCCUUCAGUAGGUGAAUGGAGAAAUAAAUUCUGAUAUCUACAGACAAUGGAAUAUCAUUCAGUGAGAAAAGACCUAUCAAGUCAUGAAAAGGCAUACCGGGACCCAAAAUGCACAUUACUAACGAAAAAAGCCAAAAAGGCUACAUACUGUAUGAUUCCAAUUAUGUGACAUUUUGGAAAAGGGAAAAUUACACAGAUAGUAAAAUGAUCGGUGGUUGGUAGGGGUUGAGGAGAGGGAAGGAUAGAUGGUCAGAGAGUUCCGGAUGUUUAGGGCAGUGAGACCAUUGUGUGCGAUUUCACCACAACGGUGGACCCACGACAGUGUGCAGAUGCCAAACCCAUUGAAUGCAGACCACAAAAAGAUAAUAAUUACAUAAACUAUGAACUUUCAUAAUGAAAUAAAUCAUGUUUUAAAAAAGUAGACAGCUUUGUUCAGUUACUGUCUACUUUUUGAAAUGGAGAGGGUGGGAUGCUUACAUGGUUGUGAGGAUAAAAAUAGCUUAGAGAAUGUAAUAACUAAAACAGGUGUGUAAACAUUGUUAAACUCUUUUAUCCUCAUUAAAAAACAUUGCUUAAAUAUAUUUGUAAUUUUUUACAACUGAGCGAGUAGUGCAAACACAUUAACAUAAUUCUCCUCUAGCUCCGCUCAGAAGUCAGGCUUCAGUGCAGGACCACAUGGCUCCAAGUGCACCUGCCAAAUGCAACAACCUCUUUCAACGUCAUUAAAAUAUUUCAAUAGGAGGCUUGAUUUUAGACUCAACCUGUGUUUUCUCCCCUGGAAAAUGAAGGUUUUAUGAAACAAAGAAGGUCUUUACCAUUCUCAUCCAAAAUGCUGAGACAUCUGUGAUGUCUGCUGUAAGUGCCACCAGGCUCUCCUCUGAAAUCUCACAACGGGAAAAUAGAGACUGUCAAUUCUGCUUUUAGAAAGGGGAGAAUCAGAUCUAAUGUCGAAAUGCCAUGUCCUCAUUCAUACACAUCUUCUUUUACAAAUUCCACAGGUUUAGUUACUUUGGGAUUAAUAUGGGCCUAUUUUAAAGUGCAUUUAUUAAUUUAGCAUGAAAUGUCCAAAUGCAUUCUGGAUCCUGAGCUGACAUCCAGCAAUGCUGAGUGUGCGCCUGUGUGAGUCACCAGCCCUGAUGAGCCUCAGGUUAUUGUAUUCAUAAAAUGAAGGGGCUUAGGCUUGCUCCGAUUUUUUUAAAACCAUUUUUAACAGUAAAAACUUGUUUCUUGUUACAUAAAAAUGUACAAGAAAAACCCAAACAUUACAAAUGAUAAAUUAUAAUUUUAUUAAUAUAAAUAUUUUGUGAGCUCAAUUUAUAGGACUUAGUUAUUAUAAAAGAAAUAAGCAACAUGAGGUGGCCAUACUUUCCUAUUUUGUUCACAUGCUAUUGAUAAAUCUUGAUGUACACAGAAAAUUAGUUUCAAAGAAUAAUAAUUUUAAAAAUCUUGACUUGUAAUUUCAAGGGACUUUAAAAAAAUUCCUGCAAUUUCUCUUUAAAGGUUCUAGAACAGUUUUCUAUGUCUUAAAGCUAAAUAAUCACAAAGAACUAACUGUUCUCACAUUCUGUAUUAUAAAUAUGUAAGUCAGAAAAGGAACAGACAAAAGAAUAAAAACACAUGCGUGAACAAAUGGGCCUUGGUUUACAUUGAAUUGGAUCUGGCAAUGAACAUGGGUUAUAGUAGUAUUUUUGUGUGUAAUUUUACACGAGUGGACUGUUGACAAAAUAAAAAUUGUCUGCAAUCACUAUUUGGUGGUAUAUUUGCACAAAUGGUAAACAUAUACAUAGAGGUCGUGGGAGAAAUUUAUUUCAUGGCUUACCAGAAGACAGGUUAAGUUGGGA